Molecule: long non-coding RNA, 984 nt
Organism: Dermochelys coriacea (leatherback sea turtle)
Lineage: Eukaryota; Metazoa; Chordata; Testudines; Dermochelyidae
Exons: 3
Source: RefSeq, a predicted model, not a curated record
CUUUAAGAGAUUUUUAAAAGUUUCUGUUAUAUUUUUAAUGCCACUCAUUAACCUUUUGAAGAGUUGAACAAUCUAUCUGUCACACCCCAAUGGCCCCCUUCCUCAGGGAGUCUCUGGGGAAGGCAGAUCAGCAUUGUAUGUGGCUAACACUGUUGCAAGUAUCGCAAAUCAUUUUGGGGAGGGUCAAAGGUGUGUGAGUGGAGAGUGGAAGUUUCCUUUGCAGAAUACGAGAGGCUGGGGGGGGGGGAAGAAGAAGAGCAGAGAACAGGUUAACUCAACACUUCAGCUAGCUCAGUGUGAAGAUAAGACCCUGGCCCUGGCCCAAGGUCAUGGGCUUGACGAGAAAUCAGCAGCUGCCCAGCCGUGAGAAGAGGAGAACUAAGUUGAGCAGAGCUGCAGAGAUAGCAGCAAGAACAGCGAGAGCAAAUGAGACAGCGACAGUGAAGGCCAAUAGAAGGGAAAACAAACUCUCUGGAGCCGGGAUGUUUUGGGAAACCGAGGAGGCCACAGCAAGCCGGUUUGGACUGGCACAAAAGGCACCAGAAGCAGAGGGCCCUGAGUGGAAUUACUGCCCCCCCACCCCACUCCCAGGAGCCCAGGACUUAAAACCCUCCUGAGAGCUGGAGCAACUCGGAGAUCAACAGCGGAUCCUCGGAUGACCUGGGCCCCGGACACCACUCCCGUCCACCCUUCCUCUCCUCUUCUUCUAACAUUACACCCAGGCCUGGACAGACUAAGAGGAUGGAAUGGCUCCAUGAUACAAGGUGCACUCUGACCCCAACUCAGGAAAGCACUUGAGCAUAGGCUUAAUUUUGAGCAGUAUGUCUGCAAGGACUAUGCGCAAGCUGAGAGACUGGGCAUCCUUUGAGGGUAGGAGACAAUACACCAGAAUUUGAGAACAUGAUUGCAGGAAUCUUACUUCUUCGUCAGAGUUCCUCAAGCAUGGAUGGAGUAAAAAUGGCCUUGGCUGCUCUUCCUGCCUAG